Molecule: long non-coding RNA, 2701 nt
Organism: Ailuropoda melanoleuca (giant panda)
Lineage: Eukaryota; Metazoa; Chordata; Mammalia; Carnivora; Ursidae
Exons: 3
Source: RefSeq, a predicted model, not a curated record
CGCCGCGCUACGGGAGCUUGAUGGAGCCGAGCCGGACGGAGGCGGGGCCAGAGCGAGGAUUCCGUGGGAGCGCUGAGGUGGGGCCCUGCCCCGGGGACCGGGGGCGAGCUCUCUCUCCCCGGAUGCGGAUGGAGACCAAGCAAGAUAUUGAAAUGUCUAUGAGUGGGCCUUGCUACAGAUUCACCCAAAGUGAACAUAAAUUUUACUGGAUAAUGUUUGAGACAGGAAGAGAAGAAGACUCUUUCCGAACAAGUCUGUUCAGCUUUAUCUAAGCUUCUUGAUGUUUCUCUCCUCAUUCAUCUAGAUGCUGCUAGAUGGUUCUGCUGGAAGUCAGAAUUUAACAAAAACAGAGCAUCUGAUGUAUUUACACCUUGCUUCAUGGAACAGAUUUAUCAGUGGAAAUAACAAGGAAGCGAUGAGGGGAACAGCUGUAUUGAACUUAAUUUUAACCAACAAAUAUCUGGUUGAUGAUUUACAAGUGACAAAAAUCCUGGGCUAAAGGGAUGAUGUCAGCUGGAGUUAAUGGCUGGCUGGGCACCAUGCUGGACUCUGGAUGAGGAGUGGUGUGUGCAGUGGCAUUGCUCUUCCUUCACAGUGCUCAUUGGCCAUUACUAGGAACAAACACAAAGCUAUAUACAAGUCUGAACAAAGUAGUGGUGUCAAGAAGACUCAUGUCCAGUUGCAAUUUUUAAAAUCUGAAUUUAUUAUUCAAACAUUUUAUUUGUUAACAUGAUUCAAAAUGCAAAAUAUACAAAAAGGAAUGUGAUAGAAAUUAUUAUCUCUGUUCCCCAGCCACUUAGUACCCAUCUCUAUGAGCCACCUAUGUUACCAGUUUCUUGCAAAUCCUCCUAGAAAAAUUCUUUGCAUAUGCAAUCAAAUGUAUUCUUUAUCAAAUCUAGGAUACCAUUGAUUGCAUACAAGAUGGAAUUAUUCUGUUUAUAUGCACUAUAUAUGCUUUUUAUUAUAUAUACUACAAAUAUAGUACAUUAUUAAAAUACUACAAAAGAAUUUUUUUAAAGCCCUGCCAGUUAAACCAUGUCUUGUUGUCAAUUGUACAAUGAAUUCUAACUUCAGAGACAUCUAAAAUGUGAAAAUCUGUGCAUUUUAUAACCAAUAAAAUAUGGUCUAUUUUCUUUCUUUUUUUUUAAUUUAACACAAAAGAUAGUAGCCUAUGUUUUUGAUUCUGUACUGUGCUUGCUUCACUUAACAGUACCUCUUGGAGCUUAUUUUGUAUCUAAGGCGUUUCUUUCUCCUUUUUUAUGUGGGAGCACUAUGAAAAGUGGUGUUUAACCAGUACGUCCGAAGUCAGAAAGUAAAAAAGGAAGGAAUAGGACACUCUUUAGAAAAGAUCAUGAAAAAACAGCAGAGGACUGGAGAAAAAAACCAAUAACCCUAAUUUUGUUUCUUCAAGGAUAAAGAUCUUCAAAUUGGAAAGUGUAGAACAAGUAUCAUGAAGAAAGACUCAAGUUUGCCAUAAAAGAAAGAAAAUACUAAGAUGAUAUGUAGUCAGUUUAUAGAAGUUAAAGUCUCUGAGUGUGCACAAAUACAAACCACAGCACUAAAACACAUGGAUGUGACAAAAUCAUUUUUGAGAAUCACUAUAAAAUAUGAAGGAAAGAAGAGAUGACUAAAGGUUUUUGCACAAGUGAAAAAUGUAGAUUAUAGGAAAUACAGACUGGCAAAGUCAUUCACAAAAAGUUUUAAAAUACAUUAUUAAAAAGAUGGUUUAUUUGCAUUUAAAAAUAAAAAUGUCAUACUAUUUUUAAAAUUUAAAGAAAAAGGAGGUAAUUAAAAGGCCCCAGAAUAGGUUUGCUAGAAAUCUUAUGUCACAGCCAGGUUGUGGCUAUGGUGUGGGGGAAAGAACUAAAGAGACGCUUGUUUUGCCAGCAAACUAAAUGACUGCAUCCUGUCAACAGUCAAGUGACUAUUCCCUUCACCUGUGCUCUGAGUGACCUAUGAAGAACAACAAGUAUGCAUUGUGUGUCAACUACACUCAAAAGAGAUUCCCCUUCUAAAAAAAAAAAAGAAAGAAAGAAAGAAAGAAAGAAAGAAAGAAAGAAAGAAAGAAAAAGAAAGAAAGAAAGAAAGAAAGAAAGAAAAAGAAAGAAGAAAAAAAUGAACAACAAGCAUAAUUGGGUAAAAAUUGGAAUUGAAAUUGAAUUCAGAUCCUCUCUCUGAUACUACCUAGUGACCUUGGGCAUGUCAGUUCAUCUUAUUUUUCUUUCUCUAAGGAGAUUACAUUUAUUAACUGCUAAGUUUCUUCUAGUGAAUUAUAUUUUAUAACCUGGUUGUAACUGUAUUAGAUAAAAUAUAUAUUUUAACUAUAAUCCGGAGAAUUUGGAAGAUUUGGAGUUUGUUGAUGUAAGCAAAAUGUCUGAUGUCUGUCAUGAAAUCUUUGUGGAAGUGAUGAAGAAAUGUGUAUUAGAUUUCCCCAUAGUUCCAGUCAGACUGGCAUUUCUACACCCUGUGUUGAUUGAUAAAUCAAAUCAUAAGAUUGGGAGAAACAGGAUACAAAAUCAUCUCAUACUACUUGAAAAAAAAUCUCUGAGAUCAGUAAAAGGAAAUUUAAUAAAAUUGUCCUUGAACUCCUCUAUUUCUAACAGUUUGGAGGUUCCUCAAAAAAUUAAACAUAGAGUUGCCAUAGGACCUAGCAAUUCCACCGUAGAUAUAUAUCCAUGAGAAAUGGAAGAUGUGUUCAUAU